This 67-nucleotide transfer RNA is filed under the name Cloacibacillus porcorum. It matches the Rfam family "tRNA". Rfam says of the family: Transfer RNA (tRNA) molecules are approximately 80 nucleotides in length. Lineage: Bacteria; Thermotogati; Synergistota; Synergistia; Synergistales; Synergistaceae. The record is from RNAcentral.
CGGUGUAGCUCAGUUGGUAGAGCAGCUGACUUGUAAUCAGCAGGUCGGGGGUUCGAAUCCUCUCGCC